UACGGGGGGAGCAAGCGUUGUUCGGAUUUACUGGGCGUAAAGGGCGCGUAGGCGGCCAGCACAAGUCGGUUGUGAAAUCUCCGGGCUUAACUCGGAAAGGUCAACCGAUACUGUGCGGCUAGAGUGCGGAAGGGGCAACUGGAAUUCUCGGUGUAGCGGUGAAAUGCGUAGAUAUUGGGAGGAACACCAGUGGCGAAGGCGGCUCACUGGACCGGUUCUGACGCUGAUGCGCGAAAGCGUGGGGAGCAAACGGG
This 254-nucleotide ribosomal RNA is filed under the name uncultured bacterium. RNAcentral's name for it is "partial 16S ribosomal RNA". It matches the Rfam family "Bacterial small subunit ribosomal RNA", at positions 524 to 776 of the family's 1533-position model. The record is from RNAcentral.